CACAUAAAAAUUUCACGGGCAUGGCUGCCUCUUUCACGCCCGUGCCCUAACUCUCCUCCUCCUCCUCCUUCCUCUUUCACGAUGGAUCCUGCCGUGCCCUAACUCUAGCUCCCGAGCCGCUUCUUGCUUCCCCUUCGAGAAGAGAGGAGCGAAGAUCGUCCCCUUCGUGCCCUAACUUCUUCGGUCGCAGCGUCGCGUUCUCCUUUCUCUUCCUCCCAGUGAGGCGAGCCGCUUCUUCCCUCCCGUUCUCGAAGAGAGGAUCGAAGGCUGUCCAUCCAAAAAAAACAGUGAGGAGUCGAAGCCCUCACCUAGCUACGGGGUCAAGUUAUAGCACCAGUAGACGGGGAGCUUUGAGUUUGAGCACUCUUUGAGGUUGCUAUUUCAUGGAUGAAUCAAGUUACAGCAACAUCGACAAUACGAGAUUUCAACAUGUAACAUGUAGGGAAUGCGGAGAAAGAACCAUGAUGUGUGUUUCUAAAUCAACUAAAAAUCCUGGAAGAUACUAUUACAGAUGUGGCCAAUAUGGAUGGCAAAAGUGGAUGACGACCGAUACUAGUUCAUCCUGCAAAAUUGAAAGUGAACACCAUGUUUCUCAUGGACAUAAUCCGAGAAUAAUCGAUGUACCAAAAUUCAUUUGGAUAUUAGUGAUGGUGAAUUUGAUUCUCUUAGCUAUAAUCCAGAUUGAGUUGUUAGUUCAUCUGUUUAGUUAGUGUUAAGUAAUGUUUGUGUUGUAAUAUAAUUAGCUAAAUGUUUGUAAGUCUGGACGCAAACUCAGUUUAUCUCUAAUUGAAAUGUUUUUAUUUCGAUAAA
Zingiber officinale is the source of this 810-nucleotide long non-coding RNA. RefSeq lists it as uncharacterized. NCBI's taxonomy places the organism in Eukaryota, Viridiplantae, Streptophyta, Magnoliopsida, Zingiberales, Zingiberaceae. The record is from RefSeq and is a predicted model, not a curated record. The transcript has 3 exons.